This 237-nucleotide ribosomal RNA is filed under the name uncultured bacterium. RNAcentral describes it as "partial 16S ribosomal RNA". It matches the Rfam family "Bacterial small subunit ribosomal RNA", at positions 15 to 233 of the family's 1533-position model. The record is from RNAcentral.
GAUCAGGCUCAGGAUGAACGCUGGCGGCGUGCUUAACACAUGCAAGUCGAGCGAAGCACCUUGCUUUGAUUUCUUCGGGAUGAAGAGCUUAGUGACUGAGCGGCGGACGGGUGAGUAACGCGUGGGUAACCUGCCUCAUACAGGGGGAUAACAGUUAGAAAUGACUGCUAAUACCGCAUAAGGCCACAGCACCGCAUGGUGCAGGGGUAAAAACUCCGGUGGUAUGAGAUGGACCCG